GCGGGUAUCGUAUAAUGGCUAUUACCUCAGCCUUCCAAGCUGAUAACGUGGGUUCGACUCCCUCAACCCGUU
Molecule: transfer RNA, 72 nt
Filed under: Escherichia coli
Lineage: Bacteria; Pseudomonadati; Pseudomonadota; Gammaproteobacteria; Enterobacterales; Enterobacteriaceae
Description: tRNA-Gly
Rfam family: tRNA
About the family: Transfer RNA (tRNA) molecules are approximately 80 nucleotides in length.
Source: RNAcentral